This 22-nucleotide microRNA is filed under the name Pristionchus pacificus. RNAcentral describes it as "ppc-miR-63d". Its record names the gene ppc-miR-63d. Lineage: Eukaryota; Metazoa; Nematoda; Chromadorea; Rhabditida; Neodiplogasteridae. The record is from miRBase by way of RNAcentral.
UAUGACACUCAAGCGAGCGAAG